UGGGGAAUUUUGGACAAUGGGCGCAAGCCUGAUCCAGCCAUGCCGCGUGCAGGAAGAAGCAUCUAUGGUGUGUAAACUGCUUUUGUACGGGAAGAAACACUCCUUCGUGAAGGAGCUUGACGGUACCGUAAGAAUAAGGAUCGGCUAACUCCGUGCCAGCAGCCGCGGUAAUACGGAGGAUCCAAGCGUUAUCCGGAAUCAUUGGGUUUAAAGGGUCCGUAGGCGGUUUAGUAAGUCAGUGGUGAAAGCCCAUCGCUCAACGAUGGAACGGCCAUUGAUACUGCUAGACUUGAAUUACAAGGAAGUAACUAGAAUAUGUAGUGUAGCGGUGAAAUGCUUAGAUAUCACAUGGAAUACCAAUUGCGAAGGCAGGUUACCAUGAUUUAACUGACGCUGAGGGACGAAAGCGUGGGGAGCGAACA
This 422-nucleotide ribosomal RNA is filed under the name uncultured bacterium. Its description in RNAcentral is "bacterial SSU rRNA". It matches the Rfam family "Bacterial small subunit ribosomal RNA", at positions 355 to 774 of the family's 1533-position model. The record is from RNAcentral.